UUUAAGGUAAGCUAAGUCUAAGCUGUUGGGCUCAUAACCCAAAAAUAUGAAUUUCCUUAAAG
Molecule: transfer RNA, 62 nt
Filed under: Pyramidella dolabrata (giant Atlantic pyram)
Lineage: Eukaryota; Metazoa; Mollusca; Gastropoda; Pyramidellidae
Description: tRNA-Met
Source: RNAcentral